CGCUGUUAAUUAGUACAUAACGAUGUGCGACCUCUAACAUUUCUGGACUCAAAGUCUUUGACUUUCCUUUAGAAAUUGGAUGUCCCUCAAUAAUUGUUUCAUUCUCAAAAUCUUCAUUCCGAGUAUGUCGAACACCUACUUCAGCAGCUUGUUUCAUGUAACCACUACAAAAAUGCAUACAUUCAUCGGCUAAAUAACACUCUGCUAUACAGCCCUCAGGUCUUGAACGAUUUCUAACAUAUCCUUUAAGUGUUUUCAUAAACUUAAUGAAUCAUAUAAUAGGCAUUAGAUAUAUAAGUAAUUGGAAGAAGAAAGUUUGAAUACUUACAAAAGUAUAAUAGUAAUUUACCUCUCAAAUGGAUAAAUCCAACGAUAUUGUACAGGUCCACCAAUACGAACCUCACGCCCAAGGGGAGGUAAUAUAUAUUUCCUUUUAAUUGUGGAUGAAUCUCCUUUCUAAUACCCAUAUUGAGUAAAUACUUACGGGAAUUUAACCCAUCUUUGAUUUUCCCUUCACAUGCAAAAUAGUGUCAAGAAUGCUUUCGCAAACGUUCUUCUCAACUAUAAGUCAACCAUUUUGCACAUGUGGAUAAAUCACAUACUGGACAUGCUACUUUUCCUUUCGUAGGAUAUCUUGAUAAGUUCCCAUAAGCCGGAAGAUCAUUAAUUGUCCACAUCGAUAUAGCUUUCAAAUUGAAGGUGGACUUGGUAAAUCCAUCAUAUACUUCAACACCAAUAUUCCACAACUCCUUUAAGUCUUCUAUUAGUGGUUUUAGAUACACAUCUAUAUCAUUUCCAGGUUGGUUGGGACCUGUGAUUAAUAAAGUCAACAACAAAUUUUCCUUAGACAUGCAUAUCCAAGGAGGGAGAUUAUAUAUGACUAGUAUCACUGGCCAACAACUAUACCUAGAACUUAGGUCACCAAAGGGAUUAAAUCCAUCAGAAGAAAGGCUAAGUCUAAGAUUUAGUGGUUCUGAUGCAAAACAAGGCCAUUUUUUUAUCAGUUCUCUCCCAAGCUAAUGAAUCAACUGUAUGAUGCAUUUUUCCAUCUAGACUUUUGUGAUUUGAGUGCCAUAUUAACUGUUCUGCCUCAUCAAGUGACCUAAACAUUCUUCUAAAUCAUGGUAUAAUCGAAAAAUAUCGCAGAACCUUUGCAGGUAUCCCUUUUUGAAUCUUCUUAGUCCGUUCAUGAACUUUCCACUGUAAAGAUGCACGUUUCGGACAUGUAUCCAAAUUCUCUAGAUCAUUUCUAAACAAAUAACAAUCAUUUACGCAUGCAUGUAUCUUCUCACACCCAAAAUCAAAGGUUUUCAAUAACCUUUUUAUUGCAUUGCAAGAAUUAGGAAGGGUGUUCCUACGUGGUAGCAUAUCUUGGAUAAUAUCAAUAAGUUCAUUGAAACCAUUAUCAGAUAUACCAUAUGUAGCUUUAAGCUUGUAUAAGACAACAGUUGCAGAUAUCCUUGUAUACUUUGUGCAACCAGGAUAUAAAGGAAUUUCUACGCCUUCAUAUAGAUUUGAAAAAUCUUUCUCUCUAACUUCAUUCUCGCGUUCUACACUAUUAUGAUUCUGAAAAAACGCAUCUCUAUACAUCCUAUACGUCUCUAAAUUUUCUACAUCUUGAGGCAAUGAUGCUGUAUUUGAUUUUUCCCCAUGAAACACCUAGGUAGUAUACGUACGAUCGAUGCCAUUAAUGAUCAAAUGCCCAUACAUUACAUCAAAAUGUUGGUGGAAUAGGUUUUUGCAACAUUUGCAAGGGCAUAUGACCUUUUCUGGAUUCCUCGCAUUGGCUUGCACCAUAUUUGCAAAUUUUCUUGCACCACGUUGAUACGCCUUUGAAACUCUAUGAAAAAUGCUAAAUAAAUCAUUUAAAAAGCAUUUGAAGACAUAUUUUAAAAUAUUCUGAAUUUAAAAGGACGAGAUAACCUUGAUAAGUGUACCCAAUCUUUAUCCAUGAUAAUACACCAACACUAUUAA
Molecule: long non-coding RNA, 1974 nt
Filed under: Olea europaea subsp. europaea
Lineage: Eukaryota; Viridiplantae; Streptophyta; Magnoliopsida; Lamiales; Oleaceae
Source: RNAcentral